Oncorhynchus tshawytscha (Chinook salmon) is the source of this 1139-nucleotide long non-coding RNA. NCBI's taxonomy places the organism in Eukaryota, Metazoa, Chordata, Actinopteri, Salmoniformes, Salmonidae. The record is from Ensembl.
CCCCUCCUCUUCCUUCAGUCCUGUCUCUCCUGAAAACAUUGUAGCCAGGCACAAUCACAAUCAAAGCAGCAUAUGGAGAGGUUUUAUGGAGCCAUGUCUCUGAGAGGCAGAGGAAGUCAAGGUUGGAGUCUGUGAGUAGAUGUUGAAUUUGAUCACUUUUUGGAAUGACACUACGAAUGUUCAAGUGCCCCCCUAGUAGUCCCUUGGGCUUAGCUCGUGGGUCCCAGACGACUCGAGAGUGAUUGACACAUUGAAAAAAUGUGUUUUCUGACGGCUGGGUUUAGGCCGUUUUGAUUAGGGGCAGUUCGGUAGCGCAAUUAACAAUCCCUCCCGCCUGCACUGGAUGCGGGGAACUAAUUAAAACAGCUUGCGUACCAGAAGCAGAGUCAGGGAUCGCAUAUAGCGACUUGGGUAUGUUUGAAGAGUCAAAAUCUAUCCUGGAGUCGAGAGAAACCAUGGGACCAUAGCACUCACCCACUUCCACACGAUCAGUGGAGAGGCCAUCCACUGCUUUCCACUCCGGUCAUCACAGCAGAAGCCAUCCACCAAUUAUUUGGGGAGCUGAUGAAGAAGAGGCAACAGAUGAACAGCUGAUGUCAUUCUGCCCCACGGUGUCCUGUUGUUUACUUGUGCAAUUUUGUAAUGUUACUUUGGGUUCAUAGCAAAAGUUCUGUCCACCAAACACCUUCUGCUUUAAAUAACAGUGCUGCUAUAAAAUAUGCUGUUACUGAGGUUUAUGAAGUUGAAAGUUUUGCCAAAAAAGUUGUUCUCGAAUUGCUCUCCAUGGAUUUCAAAUGGCGUUCCAUGUCUCAUGAGAAGCUGAAGUAGCAUGCUGUUAGCAGGCUUGGAGAGAUGCUGAUGGAAUCUAGUCAUUUUAGUCAUGGACUUACUGUUAUUUGGUCAAUUAUGUCUUAGUUGUCAUUAGAAUUUCAUAAUAAUGUGACACCUGAUGAGGAUGCACUGCCUUUCAUAUUGAAACAGAUCCAGUAUGUGACCAUUUUAUGUUGUCACUAGCAUUCCUGUUAAUUAAACAUUUGAAUAGUUCAUCCAGCAUACUCCGUGACGUGAUUAUGUGGCUACUUGUCCUCCAAAUACCAGAAGGUACUUCUUAAAAAAAAAUAUUAAAAAACUUUUUACCC